RNAcentral lists this ribosomal RNA (774 nucleotides) under uncultured Neocallimastigales. RNAcentral's name for it is "partial large subunit ribosomal RNA". It matches the Rfam family "Eukaryotic large subunit ribosomal RNA", at positions 22 to 635 of the family's 3401-position model. The record is from RNAcentral. Lineage: Eukaryota; Fungi; Neocallimastigomycota; Neocallimastigomycetes; Neocallimastigales.
GUACACGCUGUGACUAGCAUAUCAAUAAGCGGAGGAAAAGAAACUAACAAGGAUUCCCCUAGUAACGGCGAGUGAAGCGGGAAGAGCUCAAAUUUGAAAUCUUAAAGGGUUUCCCUUUACGAAUUGUAGUUUAAAGAAGUGUUUUCUGUUGAGGUUUUGGUAAAAGUUCUUUGGAAUAGGACAUCAUAGAGGGUGAGAAUCCCGUAUUUGACCUUUACUUUCAACUUUGUGAUACACUUUCAAAGAGUCGGAUUGUUUGGGAAUGCAGUCCAAAAUGGGUGGUAAAUUUCAUCUAAAGCUAAAUAUUGGCGAGAGACCGAUAGCGAACAAGUACCGUGAGGGAAAGAUGAAAAGAACUUUGAAAAGAGAGUUAAACAGUACGUGAAGUUGUCAGAAGGGAAGCGUUUGACACCAGUGUUGUUUUUCUGAAAAUCAAUUAAAGAACUGUUUAUGCUAAGCUGUUUAGACUUUAUCAGCUAUCUGUUUAGUUUUGAGCUUUUCUUUAAUGCACUUUUCAGUUAACAAGUCAACAUCAAUUUCUUUUGCUGUAAAAAAGCUUGAGGAAGGUGGCUUGAGAUUCGUCUUAAGUGUUUAUAGCCUCUUGCCUAUGCAGUCGGAGAGAUUGAGGUCUGCAGCGUAGAUCCUUCGGGGCUAAAUGCAUUUGUGCUAAGUUAUAGCAUUUUAUAGACAACUUGUUGACUAUGAUUUGUCUUGUAGCUUACUCGCUUAUGUUAUUUUACCUACGCUUAGGAUGUUGAAGAUGUAGCACAUCAU